RNAcentral lists this ribosomal RNA (327 nucleotides) under uncultured eukaryote. RNAcentral describes it as "partial 18S ribosomal RNA". It matches the Rfam family "Eukaryotic small subunit ribosomal RNA", at positions 1470 to 1796 of the family's 1831-position model. The record is from RNAcentral.
CCCUUAGAUGUCCGGGGCCGCACGCGCGCUACACUGAAGGAAUCAGCGUGGCUCUGUCCCUGGUCCGAAAGGAUUGGGAAACCCGUUGAAUCUCCUUCGUGAUAGGGAUUGGGGCUUGGAACUGUUCCCCAUGAACGAGGAAUUCCCAGUAAGCGCGAGUCAUAAGCUCGCGUUGAUUACGUCCCUGCCCUUUGUACACACCGCCCGUCGCUACUACCGAUUGAGUGAUCCGGUGAAUAAUUCGGACUGCAGCACUGCUUGGUCUCCAGGCUUUGCAGCGGAAAGUUUAGUGAACCUCAUCACUUAGAGGAAGGAGAAGUCGUAACA